CCCUUAGAUGUUCUGGGCUGCACGCGCGCUACACUGAAGCUAUCAACACGUUCUCCCUCCCUGAGAAGGGCGGGUAACCUUUUGAAUCAGCUUCGUGGUAGGGAUCGGGGCUUGCAAUUGUUCCCCGUGAGCCGGGAAUUCCUAGUAGACGCGAGUCAUAAGCUCGCAUCGAUUAAGUCCCUGCCCUUUGUACACACCGCCCGUCGCUACUACCGAUUGAACGUUUUAGUGAGGCAUUUGGACCGACGCAUCUCAGUUUAACCGCUGGUUUGUGUUGGAAAGACUUCCAAACUUGAGCGUUUAGAGGAAGUAAAAGUCGUAACA
This 324-nucleotide ribosomal RNA is filed under the name uncultured eukaryote. Its description in RNAcentral is "partial 18S ribosomal RNA". It matches the Rfam family "Eukaryotic small subunit ribosomal RNA", at positions 1470 to 1796 of the family's 1831-position model. The record is from RNAcentral.